Molecule: transfer RNA, 70 nt
Filed under: Loxodonta africana (African savanna elephant)
Lineage: Eukaryota; Metazoa; Chordata; Mammalia; Proboscidea; Elephantidae
Rfam family: tRNA
About the family: Transfer RNA (tRNA) molecules are approximately 80 nucleotides in length.
Source: Rfam by way of RNAcentral
GCGUGGUGGUCCAGCGGUAGAAUCCUCGCCUUCCACGCGGGAGACCCAGGUUCAGCUCCUGGCCAUUGUA